RNAcentral lists this ribosomal RNA (491 nucleotides) under Penicillium viridicatum. RNAcentral describes it as "eukaryotic LSU rRNA". The stretch from base 151 to 303 matches the Rfam family "5.8S ribosomal RNA". The record is from RNAcentral. Lineage: Eukaryota; Fungi; Ascomycota; Eurotiomycetes; Eurotiales; Aspergillaceae.
CUCCCACCGGUGUUUAUUUUACUUGGUUGCUUCGGCGGGCCCGCCUUUACUGGCCGCCGGGGGGCUCACGCCCCCGGGCCCGCGCCCGCCGAAGACACCGCCGAACUCUGUCUGAAGAUUGAAGUCUGAGUGAAAAUAUAAAUUAUUUAAAACUUUCAACAACGGAUCUCUUGGUUCCGGCAUCGAUGAAGAACGCAGCGAAAUGCGAUACGUAAUGUGAAUUGCAAAUUCAGUGAAUCAUCGAGUCUUUGAACGCACAUUGCNCCCCCUGGUAUUCCGGGGGGCAUGCCUGUCCGAGCGUCAUUGCUGCCCUCAAGCACGGCUUGUGUGUUGGGCCCCGUCCUCCGAUUCCGGGGUGACGGGCCCGAAAGGCAGCGGCGGCACCGCGUCCGGGUCGUCGAGCGUAUGGGGCUUGUCACCCGCUCUGUAGGCCCGGGCGGCGCUUGCCGAUCAACCCAAAUUUUUAUCCAGGUUGACGUCGGAUCAGGUAG